Cucumis melo (muskmelon) is the source of this 2370-nucleotide long non-coding RNA. RefSeq lists it as uncharacterized. Lineage: Eukaryota; Viridiplantae; Streptophyta; Magnoliopsida; Cucurbitales; Cucurbitaceae. The transcript is spliced from 3 exons. The record is from RefSeq and is a predicted model, not a curated record.
AGCUUUCUUUCUUGUAGUUUGUUUCUCUCUUUUGUAUCCACUGUCAUUUUCAACUUUCCAUUCAUUUCUCCAUCCUUUUUCACCCAAUUUUUAGAGUAAGCUCAAGAGAAAACUAGAGGAAGAAGAAAAAGAAAAUGGUUUUGAUUUUGAGGUUGAAAGAAAUAAAGGGUGUUUGGUUAGGACUAUGAAGUGCUUAAUUUUUAAAAAAAAUUAUUUUAAAAAAGUUGUAGUGUUUGACAAAUUAAAAUAAUGCAUUUUUUAGAAAAUGAUUUAUAAAUAUUUUGGACAAAUCCUGAAAAACCACAUUUUUGCAAAAUGAAGUUGAGGUGAUUGAUGGAAAAUUGAGUUUUUUCACCUUAUAUCAAAAUUACUAAUAUACCCUCCACAUUACCCCUCUUCUCUCAUUUUCCUCCCCAUUUUUGAUCUACUGUCGAAAGCACCUCCUUCCACCUCCUCCAUCAAACUACUCGAGACAUGUAGGAGAAAAUGAUGAUACAUAUGAGGAUAUGGAGCAUAAUGAUACUAAUGGUACAGAAUAGUCGAUACAUACUGCUGAUUACACUCAAGGGAAAGGAAAGAAAAGAAAAAAAAAUAGGAUCAAAAGGUAAUGUUGCAAAUAAACUUUGUGAUCAGUUGGAACGUGUAUGUGGAUCAAUAGAUAAUAGGAGAAGAGAUCUUCCAGGUUGCAGUAUUUUUGAAGUGAUGAAUGCCUUACGGGACAUACCUAGAAUUAUAAAAGGUGAUGAGCUUUUCUUGAAAGAUGCAGAUAUCUUUACAAAAAGGGAAAGUAGAGAAAUGUUUGUAGCGCUACAAGAGCCUGAGAUUCAAGUUGCAUGGUUGAAGCAAAAGAAAGUUUGACGACCUUAUAUUCUAGAAAAUGUUUGCUUGUAGAUAAUUACCAUUUUGGAGUGUUAUUUUUGUUAUGAAUGUUUUAUCGUUAUGUUUUUCAUAAAUGUUUUUAGAUUCCUUUAUGUUUAUCAGAUGUCGUCUGAUUAUUACAAUACUUAGCAAUGAUAGCAAUAUAUUAUAUUGUUAGGAUCUUUGGUUUCUAAUUUUAUUUUUUAAUGUCUUUAUGCCUUUCAGAUGUCAUCUGAUAAUUACAAUAUUGAUAGCAAUGAUCAUUAUGACGAAAGGGAUGUUGAAUAUGAACUCGAUCAAUUAGUAAAAUUGGGAUGUGGUGAUGUAGUCCAUCAUUUUGUAAUGCAUGUUUGCAAAGAGCCUUGUUGGACAUCUUCUCACACUGGUUACAAAUUUGUAAUGGAGAUCUUGAAUGGUCACGAGGAUAGAUGUCACCAACAAUUUAGAAUGGAAAAACAUAUAUUUCAGAAAUUGUUAGUAGUAUUUGAACAACAAUAUAACUUUAGUAAAGCCAAACGUAUGCCUUUGGAAGAGGCUCUUGCAAUGUUUCUUAUUACAGUCACGAUUUCUCAAAUAGAAUGGUUCAAGAAAGAUUUCAACUCUUAGGUGAGACUGUAUCAAAGUGGUUUAAUAUAGUGUUAGAUGUUAUUUGUCAUAUGGUUGUAGAUGCAAUUAAGCCUAUAGAUCCACAAUUCAAAACUACUUCUGAUAAGAUUAAAUAAGAAACUAGAUAUUGGCCGUAUUUCAAAGAUUGUAUUGGAGCAAUUGAUGUACUCAUAUGUAGGUUGUAGCACCUAAAGGAAGACAUAUACCGUACAUUGGUCGAAAAAGUAUUACCACCCAAAAUAUUAUGGCAGUCUGUGAUUUUAACAUGUGUUUUACAUUUGUUUGGGCUGGAUGGGAAGGAGCUACUCAUGAUGCUCGAAUUUUUGUGGAGGCAUUAAGAAGACCACAUUUAGGGUUUCCACAUCCACCCAAAGGUCCUUAUAGAGGUGAAUGAUACCAUCUUGCUGAUUUUCGACGUGGAAGUCAACCAAGAGGCAUGAAGGAGGUAUUUAAUCAUAGACAUUCUUCAUUAAGAUGCACUAUUGAAAGAACAUUUGAUGUUUGGAAGAAUAGAUGGAGAAUUGUUCGGCAAAUGCAUAGUUUUCCAUUUGACAAACAGGUAAAAAUUGUUGUUGCUUCAAUGCCUCUUCAUAACUUUAUAAGGGUUCGUUCAAAAACAAAUUAUGAGUUCAAGCCUUAUGACGGACCUUCAAAUGAUGAAAUAAAUUAUGAGGACGUCAAUGAAGAGCAUAGAGGUUCAGUUCGUGAAAUGGAGAUAAAUGAAGAACGUGAUCGAAUUGCACAACUUCUCAUGUCUAGUUGAUAUUAUAUUAUUUAAGAAAAAUUAUUAUUAUUAUUAUGUUUUGUUGUUGGAGAUCAAUUAUAAUUUUUAUGAUUAUGAAUUUAAGUAUCAAGAUACUUCUACCACUAAAAUAAAAUUAUCUAAAAAAUUUAAUACGAAAAAAA